This 253-nucleotide ribosomal RNA is filed under the name uncultured bacterium. Its description in RNAcentral is "partial 16S ribosomal RNA". It matches the Rfam family "Bacterial small subunit ribosomal RNA", at positions 524 to 776 of the family's 1533-position model. The record is from RNAcentral.
GACGUAGGGCGCGAGCGUUGUCCGGAGUUACUGGGCGUAAAGCGCACGCAGGCGGUCUGCUAAGUUUGGAGUGACAGUUGGUGGCUUAACUGCCAAAGUGCUUCGAAAACUGACAGACUUGAGGGCUUCAGAGGGACACGGAAUUCCGGGUGGAGUGGUGAAAUGCGUAGAGAUCCGGAGGAACACCAAAGGCGAAGGCAGUGUCCUGGGGAGUACCUGACGCUCAGGUGCGAAAGCCAGGGGAGCGAACGGG